Molecule: unclassified non-coding RNA, 269 nt
Filed under: plant metagenome
Description: partial contains small subunit ribosomal RNA, internal transcribed spacer 1, and 5.8S ribosomal RNA
Source: RNAcentral
UUUCCGUAGGUGAACCUGCGGAAGGAUCAUUAAUGAGUUGUCAUGGGGUUCGAUGCUGGCAGCCAAUUUUUGGAUGCAUGUGCUUGCCCUAACAAUCAUCUUCCAAACACCUGCGCACAUUUUUGAGGGAGUCUUGAGUUGGUUGCCGCUCUUGGGUGAUUUUCUCACAUUCCCUUAAAUCAUUAUACGCUAUUAACAAUGUUGAACGUGCUCUGUGCCGCAAGGCUAUUAAUAUAAUACAACUUUUAACAACGGAUCUCUUGGCUCUC